CCAUCGGUGGUUCAAUGGUAGAAUGCUCGCCUGCCACGCGGGCAGCCCGGGUUCGAUUCCCGGCCGAUGCA
RNAcentral lists this transfer RNA (71 nucleotides) under Cordylochernes scorpioides. Its description in RNAcentral is "tRNA-Gly". It matches the Rfam family "tRNA". From Rfam's summary of the family: Transfer RNA (tRNA) molecules are approximately 80 nucleotides in length. Their secondary structure includes four short double-helical elements and three loops (D, anti-codon, and T loops). The record is from RNAcentral. Lineage: Eukaryota; Metazoa; Arthropoda; Arachnida; Pseudoscorpiones; Chernetidae.